Long non-coding RNA from Scylla paramamosain (green mud crab), 426 nucleotides. RefSeq lists it as uncharacterized. The record is from RefSeq and is a predicted model, not a curated record. The transcript is spliced from 4 exons. Lineage: Eukaryota; Metazoa; Arthropoda; Malacostraca; Decapoda; Portunidae.
GAUCGGUUGGCGUCCUAAAGGUGUUGAUGGGCCACAAAGAUCCUGAAGUGAAGAGGAAGAGAAAGAGAAGAAGAGAAAAGAGGAGAGGAGAGGAAGGCGUUGGCCGCGUGGUGCUGCCCUGCCAAAUAGUGGAAGGAGAAAACAAGGGGAAGAAUAAACGCUGGCAGGAAACGAAUGGAGGAGGGGCGGCGCUGUAGGACGUUAGGAAACCGCUGCGUCCUUCUACGGGAGUCUUAGCGCCGUGCCUUCGCCUGUGCCGCAGACGCUCGAGACUGUGCUAAGUCGAGGCGCCUCUCCGCUGUGUGCAAUUCCGGGCUUUGGUGUGUCUAUUCAGGAGGAACUAAAAGCAGUGUUGUAAUAUUGAGGCCUCAUUUGGCUGCCCUCCAUCAGGCCGCGCCCUUGUCGCUGUUACAUGCAACUUUAGCA